UUGCCUCCUUAUGUUGGCCUUACCAUUUAUUAUCCUUUGUAGUGCUGGAUUUGUAGGAAGAUAUUGUGUAAAUUUGUUUUUGUCAUGGAAUAUCUUGGUUUCUCCAUCUAUGUUAAUUGAGAGUUUUGCUGGAUACAGUAAACUGGGCUGGCAUUUGUGUUCUUUUAGGGUCUGUAUGACAUCUGUCCAGGAUCUUCUGGCCUUCAUAGUUUCUGGCAAAAAGUCUGGUGUGAUUCCGAUAGGUCUGCCUUUAUAUGUUAUUUGACCUUUUUCCCUUACUUCUUUUAAUAUUCUUUCUUUAUUUUGUUCGUUUGGUGUUUUGACUAUUAUGUGACGGGAGGUGUUUCUUUUCUGGUCCAAUCUAUUUGGAGUUCUGUAGGCUUCUUGUAUGCCUAUGGGUAUCUCUUUUUUUAGGUUAGGGAAGUUUUCUUCUAUGAUUUUGUUGAAGAUAUUUACUGGUCCUUUGAGCUGGGAGUCUUCACUCUCUUCUAUACCUAUUAUCCUUAGGUUUGAUCUUCUCAUUGAGUCCUGGAUUUCCUGUAUGUUUUGGACCAGUAGCUUUUUCCACUUUACAUUAUCUUUGACAGUUGAGUCAAUGAUUUCUAUGGAAUCUUCUGCUCCUGAGAUUCUCUCUUCCAUCUUCUGUAUUCUGUUGGUGAAGCUUGUAUCUACAGCUCCUUGUCUCUUCUUUUGAUUUUCUAUAUCCAGGGUUGUUUCCAUGUGUUCU
This 727-nucleotide long non-coding RNA is filed under the name Rattus norvegicus (Norway rat). RNAcentral describes it as "long non-coding RNA NONRATT020240". Lineage: Eukaryota; Metazoa; Chordata; Mammalia; Rodentia; Muridae. The record is from RNAcentral.